GGCUGGUCCGAUGUUAGUGGGUUAUCAGAACUUAUUAACAUUAGUGUCACUGAAGCUGGUAUAUAAUCCCCCACUGCUAAAUCUGACUGGCUUUAC
This is an unclassified non-coding RNA of Cercocebus atys (sooty mangabey), 96 nucleotides long. It matches the Rfam family "Y RNA". Rfam says of the family: Y RNAs are components of the Ro ribonucleoprotein particle (Ro RNP), in association with Ro60 and La proteins. The Y RNAs and Ro60 and La proteins are well conserved, but the function of the Ro RNP is not known. Lineage: Eukaryota; Metazoa; Chordata; Mammalia; Primates; Cercopithecidae. The record is from Ensembl.